RNAcentral lists this ribosomal RNA (492 nucleotides) under uncultured bacterium. RNAcentral describes it as "partial 16S ribosomal RNA". It matches the Rfam family "Bacterial small subunit ribosomal RNA", at positions 29 to 507 of the family's 1533-position model. The record is from RNAcentral.
AGUGAACGCUGGCGGUAGGCCUAACACAUGCAAGUCGAACGGCAGCACAGUAAGAGCUUGCUCUUACGGGUGGCGAGUGGCGGACGGGUGAGGAAUACAUCGGAAUCUACUUUUUCGUGGGGGAUAACGUAGGGAAACUUACACUAAUACCGCAUACGACCUACGGGUGAAAUCAGGGGAUCUUCGGACCUUGCGCGAUUGAAUGAGCCGAUGUCGGAUUAGCUAGUUGGCGGGGUAAAGGCCCACCAAGGCGACGAUCCGUAGCUGGUCUGAGAGGAUGAUCAGCCACACUGGAACUGAGACACGGUCCAGACUCCUACGGGAGGCAGCAGUGGGGAAUAUUGGACAAAGGGCGCAAGCCUGAUCCAGCCAUACCGCGUGGGUGAAGAAGGCCUUCGGGUUGUAAAGCCCUUUUGUUGGGAAAGAAAAGCAGCAGGUUAAUACCCCGCUGUUCUGACGGUACCCAAAGAAUAAGCACCGGCUAACUUCGUG